GCUCCACUAGCUCAGUAGGCAGAGCGUCAGUCUCAUAACUUCUCAGUUUGUGUUAUCUGAAGGUCGACAGUUCGAACCUGCCGUGGAGCA
This is a transfer RNA of 90 nucleotides. It matches the Rfam family "tRNA". Rfam says of the family: Transfer RNA (tRNA) molecules are approximately 80 nucleotides in length. Their secondary structure includes four short double-helical elements and three loops (D, anti-codon, and T loops). The record is from Rfam.